This is a long non-coding RNA of Mus musculus (house mouse), 439 nucleotides long. RefSeq annotates it as RIKEN cDNA 9530047P18 gene. The record is from RefSeq and is a predicted model, not a curated record. NCBI's taxonomy places the organism in Eukaryota, Metazoa, Chordata, Mammalia, Rodentia, Muridae. The transcript has 2 exons.
UUCUCUUCUUUGUGUUUCCCCAGUGAUGCCUAUGGGCAGGGGCUGACAGGAAAUAACUCUGUUGAAAGAGCUGCUCAUCUUCUUGUUAAUAAUGCUUCUUCCAUGUCUUCCUGAAGGAAGAGAUUUUGUCCUGAGUGGAGUGUGGCAAGAGAGAGAUUCUGCUUUUCUCGGGAAGCUCAGCUAUAUACCAGCUUCUCCACGAUGCCAGAGUGAGAGAGACCACUGCUGAUCGUGCUGAGGCACAGCUGAAAGAGUUCCUUUCAGGGAAGCAGAUCCAAAAAUGGAGUCACUGGCUCUUGUCUGCCAGGUUGUACUCUGGGGUUCCUGACCCACAGCUCUGCUGUGCCUAUGCAUUCCUGCUAUCCUGCCUGAGUUUGAAGACAGCCUUGGCUACAUCAUGAGAUCCUGUCUUAAAAUAAAAUUUCUUUUCUUUUUGGUC